UUGUCACGUGACAAAGCCAGACAUGGCGGCCGCCCGGAGAUGGCUGGUUUGUUUGCGCUCAGGGAUAUGGAGCCUCUUAUUUUACAGCGUUUAUUCUCAUUUAAAGCUCGUUUUGGCGGAGGAGGUGGAGAGCUGCGACAACUUAAAACUCGGGCAGUAUCUCUGUAAAGAUCCAAAGAUAGAUGAAGCCACGCAGGAGCCGGAGAACUGCAGGGACACGACAGCGUGGGUUGAGUGCCUCCCAGCUCCAAACAUCAGCUGUCGUCUCUCCAACGGGACGGAGUUCAGGUUCAGCGGGGAGGAAGUUGGCUUCAACAAAACCAUCCCCUGCCGAAAUGUGAGUGGUUAUUCCUACAAAGUAGCUGUGGCUUUAUCUCUGUUUCUGGGCUGGCUGGGAGCAGACCGCUUCUACCUGGGAUAUCCUGCAUUAGGCCUGUUGAAAUUCUGUACUGUUGGCUUCUGUGGGAUCGGCACCCUGAUUGACUUCAUACUGAUCGCUAUGCAGAUUGUCGGUCCAGCAGACGGAUCACACUACAUCGUGGAUUAUUAUGGCGCCCGGCUGACCCGUCUGUCCAUCACCAACCAGACCUACAGGAAGCCACACCUGUCCCUGUGAACACACCCGGACACGCCCACACGCUGUCCGGAACGCUGUAAGAUCAGAAAGACGUCUGAGUAUCAGACCUUUACGGUGCUGUGAGCAGUGAAAUGAGUUGUGACUCUGCACUGAUUAUUAAAAAGUGGGGGGAAGAUGUUGGAUGUGAAUCAAGACUGAGAAAAGCGGAGUCACAGCAGAUGUGUGUCUGCUCAGGAUGGUUGGUCAGGCUUCAGGGAUCUGAUCCACGUCUUCUGGAACAACAUCAGUAAACAUGGCAGAAAUGCGUUUGUUACCGUGAGACAGCAGUGAAAAAACGAAACACAGUACAGAAGAAGUAACGUAAUGUUAACGGCAGUUAGACUCUGUCUGUCUGUCUGUCUGUCUGUCUGUCUGUCACGGACUGCUGGCUGGCAGUGGGACGUUUCUGUCUAAUCACCACCAAAAUUAAAACUGUGAAUACAAAAACAAGCCAAAAAGCUCCAACUGAAGUGAGUACAAAUGAGAGAAGAUUUUGUGCAGAAAAGUCUGAGUUUUGGAAUUGAAGGUCUCACACACACACACACACACACACACACACACACACACACACACACAC
Scatophagus argus is the source of this 1193-nucleotide RNA transcript. It is a transcript of the gene named TM2 domain containing 1, with no coding region annotated. The transcript has 7 exons. Lineage: Eukaryota; Metazoa; Chordata; Actinopteri; Scatophagidae. The record is from RefSeq and is a predicted model, not a curated record.